GCGGGUGGUGUGGAGCUGGCGAAUCUGGUCAGGGACAAUGGAUAGGACCCCAGGAACACGGCGGAGUGCUGCUGCCUGGGCUGCAGUGAGGUGGGCAGAAAAGCCAUUGAUGGCNNNGAUCUUGGUGGGGUGGGAGGAGGGAGGGAGGGAUCGGACGAUUGAUGUGUACCAAUCACGGUGAGAGGAGAAGAGGAUUGGCUUGUGAGAUUUCGCGACGUGGACGAUGAAGUUCUGUGGAAGGGUUGAUGAUGGUGGAGAGAAGAUUAGAGGGGGGAGAGAAAGGAAG
This 286-nucleotide unclassified non-coding RNA is filed under the name Hevea brasiliensis (rubber tree). The record is from RNAcentral. Lineage: Eukaryota; Viridiplantae; Streptophyta; Magnoliopsida; Malpighiales; Euphorbiaceae.